CCUACGGGUGGCUGCAGUGGGGAAUAUUGGACAAUGGGCGAAAGCCUGAUCCAGCCAUGCCGCGUGUGUGAAGAAGGCCUUCGGGUUGUAAAGCACUUUCAGUGGGGAAGAAAGCCUUGGGGCUAAUACCCUCGAGGAAGGACAUCACCCACAGAAGAAGCACCGGCUAAACUCCGUGCCAGCAGCCGCGGUAAUACGGAGGGUGCGAGCGUUAAUCGGAAUUACUGGGCGUAAAGCGCGCGUAGGCGGUCUGAUAAGCCGGUUGUGAAAGCCCCGGGCUCAACCUGGGAACGGCAUCCGGAACUGUCAGGCUAGAGUGCAGGAGAGGAAGGUAGAAUUCCCGGUGUAGCGGUGAAAUGCGUAGAGAUCGGGAGGAAUACCAGUGGCGAAGGCGGCCUUCUGGACUGACACUGACGCUGAGGUGCGAAAGCGUGGGUAGCAAACAGGAUUAGAUACCCGGGUAGUC
RNAcentral lists this ribosomal RNA (466 nucleotides) under Vreelandella stevensii. RNAcentral describes it as "partial 16S ribosomal RNA". It matches the Rfam family "Bacterial small subunit ribosomal RNA", at positions 338 to 795 of the family's 1533-position model. Lineage: Bacteria; Pseudomonadati; Pseudomonadota; Gammaproteobacteria; Oceanospirillales; Halomonadaceae. The record is from RNAcentral.